RNAcentral lists this ribosomal RNA (571 nucleotides) under Fusarium sp. RNAcentral's name for it is "partial large subunit ribosomal RNA". It matches the Rfam family "Eukaryotic large subunit ribosomal RNA", at positions 50 to 644 of the family's 3401-position model. Lineage: Eukaryota; Fungi; Ascomycota; Sordariomycetes; Hypocreales; Nectriaceae. The record is from RNAcentral.
GCGGAGGAAAAGAAACCAACAGGGAUUGCCCUAGUAACGGCGAGUGAAGCGGCAACAGCUCAAAUUUGAAAUCUGGCUCUCGGGCCCGAGUUGUAAUUUGUAGAGGAUACUUUUGAUGCGGUGCCUUCCGAGUUCCCUGGAACGGGACGCCAUAGAGGGUGAGAGCCCCGUCUGGUUGGAUGCCAAAUCUCUGUAAAGUUCCUUCGACGAGUCGAGUAGUUUGGGAAUGCUGCUCUAAAUGGGAGGUAUAUGUCUUCUAAAGCUAAAUAUUGGCCAGAGACCGAUAGCGCACAAGUAGAGUGAUCGAAAGAUGAAAAGCACUUUGAAAAGAGAGUUAAAAAGUACGUGAAAUUGUUGAAAGGGAAGCGUUUAUGACCAGACUUGGACUUGGUUAAUCAUCUGGGGUUCUCCCCAGUGCACUUUUCCAGUUCAGGCCAGCAUCAGUUUUCGCCGGGGGAUAAAGGCAGCGGGAAUGUGGCUCUCUUCGGGGAGUGUUAUAGCCCGUUGUGUAAUACCCUGGUGGGGACUGAGGUUCGCGCUUCUGCAAGGAUGCUGGCGUAAUGGUCAUCAA